Molecule: ribosomal RNA, 95 nt
Filed under: Caerostris darwini
Lineage: Eukaryota; Metazoa; Arthropoda; Arachnida; Araneae; Araneidae
Source: RNAcentral
AACGGCCAUACCAUGCUGAUUGUACCGGUUCCCGUUAGAUCACCGAAGUUAAGCAUCAUUGGGUGGGUGACCACCUGGGAACACCGCGUGCCGUU